This 468-nucleotide ribosomal RNA is filed under the name uncultured bacterium. RNAcentral describes it as "partial 16S ribosomal RNA". It matches the Rfam family "Bacterial small subunit ribosomal RNA", at positions 28 to 507 of the family's 1533-position model. The record is from RNAcentral.
GACGAACGCUGGCGGCGUGCUUAACACAUGCAAGUCGAACGGAAAGGCCCUGCUUUUGUGGGGUGCUCGAGUGGCGAACGGGUGAGUAACACGUGAGUAACCUGCCCUUGACUUUGGGAUAACUUCAGGAAACUGGGGCUAAUACCGGAUAGGAGCUCCUGCUGCAUGGUGGGGGUUGGAAAGUUUCGGCGGUUGGGGAUGGACUCGCGGCUUAUCAGCUUGUUGGUGGGGUAGUGGCUUACCAAGGCUUUGACGGGUAGCCGGCCUGAGAGGGUGACCGGCCACAUUGGGACGGAGAUACGGCACAGACUCCUACGGGAGGCAGCAGAGGGGAAUAUUGCACAAUGGGCGGAAGCCUGAUGCAGCAACGCCGCGUGCGGGAUGACGGCAUUCGGGUUGUAAACCGCUUUCGCCUGUGACGAAGCGUGAGUGACGGUAAUGGGUAAAGAAGCACCGGCUAACUACGUG